RNAcentral lists this ribosomal RNA (246 nucleotides) under uncultured Leptotrichia sp. RNAcentral's name for it is "partial 16S ribosomal RNA". It matches the Rfam family "Bacterial small subunit ribosomal RNA", at positions 109 to 354 of the family's 1533-position model. The record is from RNAcentral. Lineage: Bacteria; Fusobacteriati; Fusobacteriota; Fusobacteriia; Fusobacteriales; Leptotrichiaceae.
AGUAACGCGUAAGAACUUGCCCUUUAGACUGGGAGUAACAGAGGGAAACUUCUGAUAAUACUGGAUAAGUUAGUAUAUCGCAUGAUAUGCAAAUGAAAGCUACGGCACUAAAGGAGAGCUUUGCGUCCUAUUAGCUAGUUGGUAAGGUAAGAGCUUACCAAGGCGAUGAUAGGUAGCCGGCCUGAGAGGGUGGACGGCCACAAGGGGACUGAGAUACGGCCCUUACUCCUACGGGAGGCAGCAGAC